CUUGGCAAAGCACAAAAAAUUUAAGAGAACUAACUAUAUUAAUAUACAUUGUAUAUAAGCUCUCUUGAUAUAAUCAGCAAUGUCUACACCUUGCAGUCAUCCCAUACAUGCAGCAAUUGAAGCCUGAAUGACAGCAGCGUAAACUAUCCUGCUCUUGGCUGUGCAAGCUCUCAUCUCAGCAACACUGCGCAAGAGCGUCCAGUCUGCUCCUGUAACAACCGUUUCACUAAAUGCUGUACACAGCACAUGCAGUGCAGUAUACUCUUUCAAGAAGUCACUGGACUGGCUAUAUGUACUGAACAUGAUGGAUAUUCUGUGAUUCCCACUGGGAUGCCUGACUCAUUUUAACAAAAUACUCACUGCUACCCUGAAGAACACACAAUCAUACACUGAAGGAAGAAAAAUGAUUUCUUCUGCCAAUUUUUAAGAAUACUUUCUUUGUAAGAGAAAAUUAUUUGCAAAUUCAAACUUAGCUGUAAAAAUGUAGCAGACAAUACACAAUUAAAAAAAUAACACGUACCACAGCAGAUAAAUAGUAAUUUAUUAAAAUUCACCUCAAAACAAAAAAAAAAGUAAAGGACAUUAAGGCAUCUUGUAUUCAGUUACCAUUCAUAUAGUAAAGAUGACUUUUCUUUCCAAUUCCAGACCAGUAAAAGAAAAAAGAAGAGAAAAGAAAAGGUCUUCCCAACACAUUUGGCGGAGUGCUGACUUCUUCCCACUGUUCCACCAUUCAGCCAACAAAUCCCUCCCAGAAACCCCCAUUUCUUCAGGGUUUUUUCUAUUCAAAAAGAACAUCAGGAAAUGUUUACAGUAUCAUCGGUUCACUAUAACAGGAUUUUACUACAGAGUAAAAUAUAAGAUAAUUAACACUGCAUAUAUCACUAUUCAUUUCACCACAUUGGCUCUCUAUAUCCUUUGUCACAUUUUAACCUUCAUUUAAGGCAAGUUUUGUUGUCAAAGAUCACAAAGUCUUUAGAUAAACUUGUGUGACUAGGUUUAUGAGUUAGGAAAUUGAGCUUUAUAAAACGUUUACUUCAACAAGUAAGAAAAUUAUUAAGAGAAAGAUGGUGACCCAAAAUUGCACUGUAUUAAAAGGUGGAGUUUCCUUGUACCAAAGUCCUUUAUUCAUCAUCUUUAGAACCAGUUUUGCUUAACUAUAAAAGAGACACAAAAAGAAAGUGUUCAAAGUUUAGACUGCUAUUCCAUUUAUUAGGAAACAAGAACAACAUUAUUUCCAUCUUACAUAGAAUACAGGUAUAUUUAGUUAAUAAUACAGACUGUGCUACUGUACCAAGAGAUGCAAAUGACUCAAAAAUAUUUAAGCUUAUAUACUAAAUUAGCUUAUUUCUUGAACCUAAAACUCCAUCUUCCCUUUUCAUGAACUACUUUCAAAAAUAUAAAUUGAAAGGUUAUGCCUAUUAAAAAGAAGAGGAAAAACAACAACAACAACAAAAAAAAACACCUUAGGGCACCUUCUAGUUAAACUGAAGACUCUGUCCCUAGCUCUCCAAAAGAAAACAGAUGCAAUAACUGAAAAAAGUUAUUUCCACACAUCUCAAACAGUUCCCACAUACAGAUGUGCACAAAAUGUAAAAACAGACAUUAAAUUAUUUUUCUCCUUUCUUAAAAGCUAAGUCUGUAAUUAUUAGAAGUAGUGCAUCUAUCAGGAAAUUUCUCUGGAGUCCACAAAAUCCACUACAAAUAGUCACUUAAUUCUCUGCUCAUAACCACCACUUGCUCACUGUUAUUUAACAACUAGAAAUGGUGUUAGGUCUUACACUUAGAAUUAAUUAUGGUUGCAUAAAAUAAAAUAGUUUGCCAUAAAAUUUGUCA
Dromaius novaehollandiae (emu) is the source of this 1833-nucleotide long non-coding RNA. The record is from Ensembl. Lineage: Eukaryota; Metazoa; Chordata; Aves; Casuariiformes; Dromaiidae.